GGGCCCGCACAAGCGGUGGAGUAUGUGGUUUAAUUCGAUGCAACGCGAAGAACCUUACCAGGGCUUGACAUCCUGCGAAUCUCUGGGAAACCGGAGAGUGCCUUCGGGAACGCAGUGACAGGUGGUGCAUGGCUGUCGUCAGCUCGUGUCGUGAGAUGUUGGGUUAAGUCCCGCAACGAGCGCAACCCACGUCUUUAGUUGCCAGCAUUUAGUUGGGCACUCUAGAGAGACCGCCGGUGACAAACCGGAGGAAGGUGUGGAUGACGUCAAGUCAUCAUGCCCCUUACGGCCUGGGCUACACACGUGCUACAAUGGCUAGGACAGACGGCCGCAACCCGCGAGGGG
RNAcentral lists this ribosomal RNA (345 nucleotides) under uncultured bacterium. RNAcentral's name for it is "bacterial SSU rRNA". It matches the Rfam family "Bacterial small subunit ribosomal RNA", at positions 917 to 1264 of the family's 1533-position model. The record is from RNAcentral.